GGAAGGUUCGGGCACGCGGCAGGCCCACCCCGCUCGAAACGGGACAGGCGUCACCAGACGCCUUGGGAGUUCGACUCUCCCACCUUCCUCCA
Molecule: transfer RNA, 92 nt
Filed under: Planctomycetaceae bacterium
Lineage: Bacteria; Pseudomonadati; Planctomycetota; Planctomycetia; Planctomycetales; Planctomycetaceae
Description: tRNA-Ser
Source: RNAcentral